Molecule: ribosomal RNA, 485 nt
Filed under: uncultured bacterium
Lineage: Bacteria
Description: partial 16S ribosomal RNA
Rfam family: Bacterial small subunit ribosomal RNA
Source: RNAcentral
GAUGAACGCUGGCGGCGUGCUUAACACAUGCAAGUCGAACGGGAUCCAAGGGGUGCUUGCACUUUUUGGUGAGAGUGGCGAACGGGUGAGUAACACGUGAGUAACCUGUCCUUUUCUUUGGGAUAAGCAUUCGAAAGGGUGUUUAAUACCUUAUGUUCUGUCUGCCUCGCAUGGGGUGGGUGGGAAAGGCUUUGGCCGGAUUUGGGUGGGCUCGCGGUCUAUCAGCGUGUUGGUGGGGUGAUGGCCUACCAAGGCUUUGACGGGUAGCCGGCCUGAGAGGGUGGUCGGACUGAGACGGGCUGCGAUACGGCACAGGCGCCUGCGGGAGGCAGCAGUGGGGGAUAUGGCAAAGUGGGCGAAAGCCUGAUGCAGCGAGGGCGCGUGGGAUAUGAAGGCCUUCGGGUUGUAAACUUCUUUGGCUCUGAGCAAGGCAUGCCAGUGGGUGUGUGGAGUGUAGGAGUUGAUUAGCGCCGGCUAACUACGUG